GCGUGUGUCGUCCAAUGGUGAAGAUGUCUGGUUUCCACCCAGAAGAUGCGGGUUCAAUUCCUGUCACACGCAUCA
RNAcentral lists this transfer RNA (75 nucleotides) under Deltaproteobacteria bacterium. RNAcentral's name for it is "tRNA-Gly". It matches the Rfam family "tRNA". Rfam says of the family: Transfer RNA (tRNA) molecules are approximately 80 nucleotides in length. Their secondary structure includes four short double-helical elements and three loops (D, anti-codon, and T loops). Lineage: Bacteria; Pseudomonadati; Myxococcota; Myxococcia. The record is from RNAcentral.